Molecule: ribosomal RNA, 463 nt
Filed under: uncultured bacterium
Lineage: Bacteria
Description: bacterial SSU rRNA
Rfam family: Bacterial small subunit ribosomal RNA
Source: RNAcentral
GACGAACGCUGGCGGCGUGCUUAACACAUGCAAGUCGAGCGAGGUCCAACCGGUGGCAACACCGGGGAAGACCUAGCGGCGAACGGGUGAGUAACACGUGAGCAACCUGCCCCGAAGACUGGGAUAACACCGGGAAACCGGUGCUAAUACCGGAUGUCCUCCUCUGGUCGCAUGGCCUAGGGAGGAAAGACUGUAUCUAAUACAUGCAGUUUGCUUCGGGAGGGGCUCGCGGGCUAUCAGCUUGUUGGUGGGGUAACGGCUCACCAAGGCGACGACGGCUAGCUGGUCUGAGAGGACGACCAGCCACACUGGGACUGAGACACGGCCCAGACUCCUACGGGAGGCAGCAGUGGGGAAUCUUGCGCAAUGGGCGAAAGCCUGACGCAGCGACGCCGCGUGAGGGAUGACGGCCUUCGGGUUGUAAACCUCUUUCAGCUCCGACGAAGCGAGAGUGACGGUAGGA